AACGCUGGCGGCAGGCCUAACACAUGCAAGUCGAGCGGUAGAGAGGUGCUUGCAUCUCUUGAGAGCGGCGGACGGGUGAGUAAUGCCUAGGAAUCUGCCUAGUGGUGGGGGAUAACGUUCGGAAACGGACGCUAAUACCGCAUACGUCCUACGGGAGAAAGCGGGGGGAUCUUCGGACCUCGCGCCAUUAGAUGAGCCUAGGUCGGAUUAGCUAGUUGGUGAGGUAAUGGCUCACCAAGGCGACGAUCCGUAACUGGUCUGAGAGGAUGAUCAGUCACACUGGAACUGAGACACAGUCCAGACUCCUACGGGAGGCAGCAGUGGGGAAUAUUGGACAAUGGGCGCAAGCCUGAUCCAGCCAUGCCGCGUGUGUGAAGAAGGCCUUCGGGUUGUAAAGCACUUUCAGCGAGGAGGAAGGGUUGUGUGUUAAUAGCACAUAGCCUUGACGUUACUCGCAGAAGAAGCACCGGCUAACUCUGUG
Molecule: ribosomal RNA, 481 nt
Filed under: uncultured bacterium
Lineage: Bacteria
Description: bacterial SSU rRNA
Rfam family: Bacterial small subunit ribosomal RNA
Source: RNAcentral